RNAcentral lists this non-coding RNA (273 nucleotides) under Gossypium hirsutum (cotton). RNAcentral describes it as "Eukaryotic large subunit ribosomal RNA". It matches the Rfam family "Eukaryotic large subunit ribosomal RNA", at positions 675 to 954 of the family's 3401-position model. The record is from Rfam by way of RNAcentral. Lineage: Eukaryota; Viridiplantae; Streptophyta; Magnoliopsida; Malvales; Malvaceae.
CUGACAUGUGUGCUAGUCAACGGGCUAGAAAAAGCGUAAGGCGCAAGGAAGCUGAUUGGCGGGAUCCCUCGCGGGUGCAUCGUCGACCUACCUUGAUCUUCUGAGAAGGGUUCGAGUGAGAGCAUGCCUAUCGGGACCCGAAAUAUGGUGAACUAUGCCUGAGCGGGGCAAAGCCAGAGAAAACUCUGGUGGAGGCCCGCAGCCUGACUUGCAAAUCGUUCGUCUGACUUGGGUAUAGUGGCGAAAGACUAAUCGAACCGUCUAGUGUCACGG